This 206-nucleotide ribosomal RNA is filed under the name uncultured bacterium. RNAcentral describes it as "partial 16S ribosomal RNA". It matches the Rfam family "Bacterial small subunit ribosomal RNA", at positions 568 to 774 of the family's 1533-position model. The record is from RNAcentral.
UGCGUAGGCGGGUCUUUAAGUCAGGGGUGAAAUCCUGGAGCUCAACUCCAGAACCGCCUUUGAUACUGAAGAUCUUGAGUUCGGGAGAGGUGAGUGGAACUGCGAGUGUAGAGGUGAAAUUCGUAGAUAUUCGCAAGAACACCAGUGGCGAAGGCGGCUCACUGGCCCGAUACUGACGCUGAGGCACGAAAGCUGGGGAGCAAACA